RNAcentral lists this ribosomal RNA (466 nucleotides) under uncultured bacterium. Its description in RNAcentral is "partial 16S ribosomal RNA". It matches the Rfam family "Bacterial small subunit ribosomal RNA", at positions 28 to 507 of the family's 1533-position model. The record is from RNAcentral.
GAUGAACGCUGGCGGCGUGCUUAACACAUGCAAGUCGAACGAUGAAGCUCAGCUUGCUGGGUGGAUUAGUGGCGAACGGGUGAGUAACACGUGAGUAACCUGCCCUUAACUCUGGGAUAAGCCUGGGAAACUAGGUCUAAUACCGGAUAGGAGUGCCUACCGCAUGGUGGGUGUUGGAAAAAUUUAUCGGUUUUGGAUGGACUCGCGGCCUAUCAGCUUGUUGGUGAGGUAAUGGCUCACCAAGGCGACGACGGGUAGCCGGCCUGAGAGGGUGACCGGCCACACUGGGACUGAGACACGGCCCAGACUCCUACGGGAGGCAGCAGUGGGGAAUAUUGCACAAUGGGCGAAAGCCUGAUGCAGCGACGCCGCGUGAGGGAUGACGGCCUUCGGGUUGUAAACCUCUUUCAGUAGGGAAGAAGCGAAAGUGACGGUACCUGCAGAAGAAGCACCGGCUAACUACGUG